GGCCCGAUGGUCUAGAGGCUUGGUUCUCGCUUAGGGUGCGAGAGGUCCCGGGUUCAAUUCCCGGUCGGGCCC
RNAcentral lists this transfer RNA (72 nucleotides) under Nematostella vectensis (starlet sea anemone). It matches the Rfam family "tRNA". From Rfam's summary of the family: Transfer RNA (tRNA) molecules are approximately 80 nucleotides in length. Their secondary structure includes four short double-helical elements and three loops (D, anti-codon, and T loops). Lineage: Eukaryota; Metazoa; Cnidaria; Anthozoa; Actiniaria; Edwardsiidae. The record is from Rfam by way of RNAcentral.